UCACAGGCUAGUUCCAGGGGGAAGGAGAGGCGGACGGUGGCUCCAGAUGGUGUCUGGGCUGGGGAAGGUGCUCUGACCUCUCUGAGUUCAAGGCUGAGACAGGACAAACAUGCCGGUCUUUAAAGGGUGGAAAGGCUGUCCUCAAAAUGAUAAUGAUGACAGCAGGGCUCGUUGAGUGCCUUCUACAUGUGGGGCGACUACUCUAAACACUCACUUUCCGCAUAGCUGAUCCUUAGAACUCUAUUACAUUUCCUAUUCUACAGCAGGACUGUCAUUGAACAGCCCAUAAUAGAACAACCACUAAGAGGAAGACAGCAGAUUCCACCGGGAAAGGUCCAUUCUGCUCAAGUGUGGUCUUCAGAGUGUUGCUCCACGUUCUCAGUGGGACUCCUGUUCUCUCCCCAUUUUCAUCAUGAGAAAAUGAUGCCUAAGAGUUGAUGGAAAUUCCUCUGAUGUUGGCCGGAAGUCUCUCAGGCUCAUUUGCCUCUUGUGUUAUCUAGUCUGCAGGGCCUAGUUGGGGACUGGAGGAACCACGGUUUUGCAACGGAGAAGGGGAGUGUGCAGCUGCAGGGGCUUCUAGGGAAAAGAUGGGAAGAGACCAAGGGGAUCCUUGAAGUUGCCCCUUCUCCAUCUGUUGCCACUAAAUGCCACCCCUUUGCUACCCCAUUGACACAUCUUGCCCCAGUGCUGUCUUCCCCUGUCUCCUCCACCCUUGCCCACUAUGCUCAGCUGGACUUGGGGCCCCUGUCGUGUGUAAUCAUGGAAAGAGAAGAGCUAGCUUCAGUUAGACACCAAAGAUCCCAGGUGCAGCCUGGCUGUCCCAGGCUGACCACGGAUAGCCACGCAAGUCAGGCUCAUCAGUCUCACGGCUGCUUCCCCUCUGCCUCCCAGAGCCCAGGAAAGCAGGACACAACUCCACACAGUGCAGCCUCGGGGGCUGGGCUUCCAGUCCAGAUGCAGCUGAUUCUGGAUUCUUCUUUACUCUUACUUUCCUGGAUCCGCUGGAUCUUAUUUUUUGCAAAUAACCCGGAUGGCUUUUCCCACAUUCUUUAGCUCAACAAACCACAUCAUGGCCUCCCAGGACACGGACGUCACAGGGCGGGAGUCAUUGUUGGUUUCUCCCCAUCCUCUUUCCCCUCUGUAUUAUUGGCAGGAUUGUUCCUUCCUGAGGCUCCUUGCCUCCUCCCAGCUUCCAGUGACGGCUGACAUUCCCCACCAGUCCUUGGCUUGUAGACACAUCCCCCUCACCUUGGCCUUGAUCUUCAUGUGUCUGUGUCUCUGUUUUCUCUUCUUAUAAGGACAGGGGUCACUGGUCAAUAGUCCCAGGCCAUAUGAGUGCAGCUUGAAUUAGCUGAUUACAUCUGUAAAGACCCUAUUUCCAAAUAAAUUCACAUCCUGAGGUUCCUGGUGGACACUCAGUUUUGGGGGACACUACUCAAGCUUCCCCUCUAUCCAUGCCAGUUCCAGCUCCAUCUAAGCUGUCGCCAGUUCACGUCACUUCUGCUUCCUUAGUAUCUCUCCAAGUGGCCCAUUUCUCCCAGUGAAUCUGCUUAGUCAGCCCCUCAUUUACAUUCCACUGAUGACUUCUCAUUGCCUUCAAAAUCACACCCACACUGUUCAGCAGUGCUUUCAAGGCUCUCGGAGAUUCCACCACUGUUUAUCUCUCCAAGCUCAUCUCUCCUAGGACGCACGGCUGUAUUGAUUCGCAUACAGGUGUGGAGUCUUUUGUGUGUCUGUCUGUUUGUUUAAUGACGGCCUCUCUCCCUGCAUGUAAGCAGCUCAGAGAACAGGGAGAGUGGCUCUCUUGUGUGCUUUUCUAUCCCAUGCCUGACAUGCACGGUGAAUAAACUCCACGCUCCCUCUGGUCCCAGUACAGUGCUGGGC
Bos taurus (domestic cattle) is the source of this 1884-nucleotide long non-coding RNA. The record is from Ensembl. NCBI's taxonomy places the organism in Eukaryota, Metazoa, Chordata, Mammalia, Artiodactyla, Bovidae.